RNAcentral lists this ribosomal RNA (497 nucleotides) under uncultured bacterium. RNAcentral's name for it is "partial 16S ribosomal RNA". It matches the Rfam family "Bacterial small subunit ribosomal RNA", at positions 28 to 507 of the family's 1533-position model. The record is from RNAcentral.
GAUGAACGCUGGCGGCGUGCCUAAUACAUGCAAGUCGAGCGAACAGACGAGGAGCUUGCUCCUCUGACGUUAGCGGCGGACGGGUGAGUAACACGUGGAUAACCUACCUAUAAGACUGGGAUAACUUCGGGAAACCGGAGCUAAUACCGGAUAAUAUAUUGAACCGCAUGGUUCAAUAGUGAAAGACGGUUUUGCUGUCACUUAUAGAUGGAUCCGCGCCGCAUUAGCUAGUUGGUAAGGUAACGGCUUACCAAGGCAACGAUGCGUAGCCGACCUGAGAGGGGGAUCGCCCACACUGGAACUGGGACACGGUCCAGACUCCUACGGGAGGCAGCAGUAGGGAAUCUUCCGCAAUGGGCGAAAGCCUGACGGAGCAACGCCGCGUGAGUGAUGAAGGUCUUCGGAUCGUAAAACUCUGUUAUUAGGGAAGAACAAAUGUGUAAGUAACUAUGCACGUCUUGACGGUACCUAAUCAGAAAGCCACGGCUAACUACGUG